ACGUUUGUAGGUAAACAGGUGGACUACGAAGUUGCCUGAGGUAGGAUUCAACUGUUCAGACUGAGAAAGUUGCCUUUGUUAUAUUCGGUUCUCUUUAGAGGGCAGAUGUCGGUGAACUAAUGCAGCUGUCUGGCGGUGCAUUUCUUCAGUCUCGUGCUAAAGCCAUGACCGAUUAGGGAACUAGUGCGUCCGUAUGCGAUGGUCACAGGAAGGUAGCUGGAUGUGUUCUCGAAUGCAUGCUAGUGUUAUAGCCUGUGGCUAGUAGUAUUCUAGCACUUAGUAAGCUGAUCGGCUCAAGUUCUCCGCUUAUGCGGGGUUUGCAGUAAUGGGUGCCUACAGUUCUGUUGUCGAGAUUGUGCCUGUUUGGUCGAUCUUUCUGUGUUUUCACGGAAAGUCAGCCUCAUAGGUCGGUCUAUGCUGGCGGCAGUAUCUGUGCGUACUUGUGCAAUCGAUGGCUAGUAGGUCGGUAUCUACCUGACCCGCUUGAACACGCA
Molecule: ribosomal RNA, 494 nt
Filed under: Adoristes ovatus
Lineage: Eukaryota; Metazoa; Arthropoda; Arachnida; Sarcoptiformes; Liacaridae
Description: partial 28S ribosomal RNA
Source: RNAcentral